Non-coding RNA from Paramuricea clavata, 642 nucleotides. The record is from the annotation of a GenBank genome assembly. NCBI's taxonomy places the organism in Eukaryota, Metazoa, Cnidaria, Anthozoa, Malacalcyonacea, Plexauridae.
UUUUUACUCAUGCUUGAAUCACGUCAGUCGUCAGGUCAUUAAUAGGGUCUACUAAUAGUUUAGGUUCUCAGGAAAUUAUAAUAAAAUUAGAUUGAAAACAUUUGAAAAUAUUUUCUAAAUUCCUCUGUUUAUUUUCUUUAUUUUUCAAGUUAAAAUUUCCCGCGCGAAUUCUUACCGCGCGCAACGCGGAGUCUGGUACGGAAUUUACAGUAAUACACUGAUCCAUAUAUUGUAUCUGGAAUAUUGACAUGCGCCUUUUGUUCUUUAUAGUAAGCGGUUUCCCCCAAGAAUUCCUCUUCUUUUCGUCUCUCUCAACGAAGUAAACAGAAAUGGUAGUGUAGUUCUUAAAAUCCUUUAUUUUCCAUGCCCAUCCUAUGUUUUAAAGUCACAAAACACGAGUAUAUCGAGUUUAGAAUCUUGUCUUGUCAUUUUAGAGCAAUUUUCUAUUAAUUUCCAUAAAUAUUUUCUUUAGGCUAAGCGUACAAAAAAGGUCGGAGUUGUAGGAAAAUAUGGAACCCGAUAUGGAGCUUCGUUGAGAAUUCACUAGAGCUAUCUACAGUGUAUUUCAUAGACGAAUGGGUUUGUGAUAUUUCCAUUAGAUUGCAUUAAUGAUUUAAAUAGUUUUAAUAUACUCUGAUGAUG